GAUGAACGCUGGCGGCGUGCCUAAUACAUGCAAGUCGAGCGGACAGACGAGGAGCUUGCUCCUCUGACGUUAGCGGCGGACGGGUGAGUAACCCGUGGAUAACCUACCUAUAAGACUGGGAUAACUUCGGGAAACCGGAGCUAAUACCGGAUAAUAUAUUGAACCGCAUGGUUCAAUAGUGAAAGACGGUUUUGCUGUCACUUAUAGAUGGAUCCGCGCCGCAUUAGCUAGUUGGUAAGGUAACGGCUUACCAAGGCAACGAUGCGUAGCCGACCUGAGAGGGUGAUCGGCCACACUGGAACUGAGACACGGUCCAGACUCCUACGGGAGGCAGCAGUAGGGAAUCUUCCGCAAUGGGCGAAAGCCUGACGGAGCAACGCCGCGUGAGUGAUGAAGGUCUUCGGAUCGUAAAACUCUGUUAUUAGGGAAGAACAAAUGUGUAAGUAACUAUGCACGUCUUGACGGUACCUAAUCAGAAAGCCACGGCUAACUACGUG
Molecule: ribosomal RNA, 497 nt
Filed under: uncultured bacterium
Lineage: Bacteria
Description: partial 16S ribosomal RNA
Rfam family: Bacterial small subunit ribosomal RNA
Source: RNAcentral